AUACGUAGGUGGCAAGCGUUAUCCGGAUUUACUGGGUGUAAAGGGCGUGUAGGCGGUUUGGCAAGUCAGAAGUGAAAUUCCCGGGCUUAACUUGGGCGCUGCUUCUGAAACUGCUUAACUUGAGUGCUGGAGAGGAUAGUGGAAUUCCUAGUGUAGCGGUAAAAUGCGCAGAUAUUAGGAGGAACACCGGUGGCGAAGGCGGCUAUCUGGACAGUAACUGACGCUGAGGCGCGAAAGCACGGGGAGCAAACAGGAUUAGAUACCCUGGUAGUCCGUGCCGUAAACGAUGAAUACUAGGUGUAGGGGGUAUCGACUCCCUCUGUGCCGCAGUUAACACAUUAAGUAUUCCACCUGGGGAGUACGGCCGCAAGGUUGAAACUCAAAGGAAUUGACGGGG
RNAcentral lists this ribosomal RNA (397 nucleotides) under uncultured bacterium. RNAcentral describes it as "partial 16S ribosomal RNA". It matches the Rfam family "Bacterial small subunit ribosomal RNA", at positions 523 to 918 of the family's 1533-position model. The record is from RNAcentral.